CUUAGCAAACCGCCUGCGCACGCUUUACGCCCAGUAAUUCCGAUUAACGCUCGCACCCUACGUAUUACCGCGGCUGCUGGCACGUAGUUAGCCGGUGCUUAUUCUUCCGGUACCGUCAUCCCCCGGCUAUAUUAGAACCAAGGAUUUCUUUCCGGACAAAAGUGCUUUACAACCCGAAGGCCUUCUUCACACACGCGGCAUUGCUGGAUCAGGCUUUCGCCCAUUGUCCAAAAUUCCCCACUGCUGCCUCCCGUAGGAGUCUGGGCCGUGUCUCAGUCCCAGUGUGGCUGGUCGUCCUCUCAGACCAGCUACUGAUCGUCGCCUUGGUAGGCCUUUACCCCACCAACUAGCUAAUCAGACAUCGGCCAACCCUAUAGCGCGAGGCCCGAAGGUCCCCCGCUUUCAUCCGUAGAUCGUAUGCGGUAUUAAUCCGGCUUUCGCCGGGCUAUCCCCCACUACAGGACAUGUUCCGAUGUAUUACUCACCCGUUCGCCACUCGCCACCAG
This 506-nucleotide ribosomal RNA is filed under the name Burkholderia pyrrocinia. Its description in RNAcentral is "partial 16S rRNA". Lineage: Bacteria; Pseudomonadati; Pseudomonadota; Betaproteobacteria; Burkholderiales; Burkholderiaceae. The record is from RNAcentral.